Molecule: ribosomal RNA, 327 nt
Filed under: Baetidae sp. BMNH 704074
Lineage: Eukaryota; Metazoa; Arthropoda; Insecta; Ephemeroptera; Baetidae
Description: partial 12S ribosomal RNA
Source: RNAcentral
ACUAAUCUGUUGUUAACUAUAAUUCUGAGUAGUAACAGUAUUCUCCAAACUCAAAGAAUUUGGCGGCGUCCUAACUCAUUAGAGGAACCUGCCCCGUAAAUGAUGAUCCACGAUUAAUCUGUCUAUGGUCAUUAGUUUGUAUACCGCCGUGUAGGGCUUAUUAAAAAAUAAACUCAUAAUUAUGUCAGUUAACACUUCAGGUCAAGGUGCAGCCCAUACCAUUGUGGAGGUGGGUUACAGUAAAGGUCUUUACAAAUUGAAGUUUGAGAAACAUCAUGAAGUUGGAUUUAAAAGUAAAAUUAAUUUAAAAAAUUUGAUUGAGUACCA